UUUGUGUUUAAGGUGUGACUCAUGACUGGGGUUAAGUCGUAACAAGGUAACUGUACCGGAAGGUGCGGUUGGAUCACCUCCUUU
This 84-nucleotide ribosomal RNA is filed under the name Deinococcota bacterium. RNAcentral describes it as "partial 16S ribosomal RNA". It matches the Rfam family "Bacterial small subunit ribosomal RNA", at positions 1450 to 1533 of the family's 1533-position model. Lineage: Bacteria; Thermotogati; Deinococcota. The record is from RNAcentral.